GACGAACGUUGGCGGCGUGCUUAAUACAUGCAAGUCCACUGAAGCAGUGGUAGCAAUAUCGCUGUGGAGGUGGCGCACGGGUGAGUAACACGUAGGUAAUCUGCCUUCAGGUCUGGCAUAACUCCGGGAAACCGGGGCUAAUAGCAGAUGAUGCAGCGGCUCGACAUCGAGACAGUUGUUAAAGCUAUGGCGCCUGAAGAUGAGCCUGCGUCUGAUUAGCUAGUUGGCGGGGUAACGGCCCACCAAGGCAACGAUCAGUAGCUGGUCUGAGAGGAUGAUCAGCCACACUGGAACUGAGACACGGUCCAGACUCCUACGGGAGGCAGCAGUAAGGAAUAUUGCUCAAUGGGAGAAAUCCUGAAGCAGCAACGCAGCGUGAGGGACGAAGGGCGUUUGCUUGUAAACCUCUGUAGUGAGAGAAAAAAAUCCCAAUCUUUGGGACAUGAUGGUAUCUCAAAAGUAAGCCCCGGCUAACUACGUG
Molecule: ribosomal RNA, 481 nt
Filed under: uncultured bacterium
Lineage: Bacteria
Description: partial 16S ribosomal RNA
Rfam family: Bacterial small subunit ribosomal RNA
Source: RNAcentral